This is a non-coding RNA of Cinara cedri, 293 nucleotides long. The record is from the annotation of a GenBank genome assembly. NCBI's taxonomy places the organism in Eukaryota, Metazoa, Arthropoda, Insecta, Hemiptera, Aphididae.
UUUUUACUAAAACAUUUUUUCGGGUGGUUUUACCACUUUUCCUCGUAAUAAAAAGGGACACAGAAUUCAACGUUUCGUUAGGAUAAACGGAAAUGUCAUUUUUGAAAAUGUCACGUUCGUUAAUCUCUACAGGAGGGGACGAUUUUUUUUCAUUCUGAAUCCUUAUCGGAAUAUUAUCGGAGAAGUUCACCUAUAAUAUUAUAGAAUAUUAAAUCUACGGUAUUUCGUAGAUUAUUAUUUUGGCAUUCGUUCAGCAACGCAGAAACUUAAACACCGAUCGGCAACGGUCUCGU